Molecule: ribosomal RNA, 464 nt
Filed under: uncultured Desulfobulbus sp.
Lineage: Bacteria; Pseudomonadati; Thermodesulfobacteriota; Desulfobulbia; Desulfobulbales; Desulfobulbaceae
Description: bacterial SSU rRNA
Rfam family: Bacterial small subunit ribosomal RNA
Source: RNAcentral
GCACAAGCGGUGGAGUAUGUGGUUUAAUCGAUGCAACGCGAAGAACCUUACCUGGUCUUGACAUCCCGGAGACCCUUAGGAAACUAGGGGGUGCUUCCAUCUGGAAGAAUCUGGAGACAGGUGCUGCAUGGCUGUCGUCAGCUCGUGUCGUGAGAUGUUGGGUUAAGUCCCGCAACGAGCGCAACCCUUGCCUUUAGUUGCCAGCAGUUCGGCUGGGCACUCUAAAGGGACUGCCGGUGUUAAACCGGAGGAAGGUGGGGAUGACGUCAAGUCCUCAUGGCCUUUAUGACCAGGGCUACACACGUACUACAAUGGCCGAUACAAAGGGCAGCGACACUGCGAGGUGAAGCCAAUCCCGUAAAAUCGGUCUCAGUCCGGAUUGGAGUCUGCAACUCGACUCCAUGAAGUUGGAAUCGCUAGUAAUCGUGGAUCAGCAUGCCACGGUGAAUACGUUCCCGGGCCUU